Molecule: ribosomal RNA, 277 nt
Filed under: uncultured Archaeospora
Lineage: Eukaryota; Fungi; Glomeromycota; Glomeromycetes; Archaeosporales; Archaeosporaceae
Description: partial 18S ribosomal RNA
Rfam family: Eukaryotic small subunit ribosomal RNA
Source: RNAcentral
UUGGAGGGCAAGUCUGGUGCCAGCAGCCGCGGUAAUUCCAGCUCCAAUAGCGUAUAUUAAAGUUGUUGCAGUUAAAAAGCUCGUAGUUGAAUUUUUGAUUCUGACAAUUGGUCCAUCUUUUAGAUGAGUACUUUUUGUGUAGGGUCUAUCUGCCUGGUGAUACGUAAUGUCCUUUAUUGGGUGUUACGGGUAGUCAGGACCUUUACCUUGAAAAAAUUAGAGUGUUUAAAGCAGGCUUAUGCCGGAAUACAUUAGCAUGGAAUAAUAGAAUAGGACG